RNAcentral lists this ribosomal RNA (954 nucleotides) under Fomitopsis mounceae. Its description in RNAcentral is "partial large subunit ribosomal RNA". It matches the Rfam family "Eukaryotic large subunit ribosomal RNA", at positions 1 to 945 of the family's 3401-position model. Lineage: Eukaryota; Fungi; Basidiomycota; Agaricomycetes; Polyporales; Fomitopsidaceae. The record is from RNAcentral.
CAAAUCAGGUAGGAUUACCCGCUGAACUUAAGCAUAUCAAUAAGCGGAGGAAAAGAAACUAACAAGGAUUCCCCUAGUAACUGCGAGUGAAGCGGGAAAAGCUCAAAUUUAAAAUCUGGCGGUCUUUGGCCGUCCGAGUUGUAGUCUGGAGAAGUGCUUUCCGCGCUGGACCGUGUACAAGUCUCUUGGAACAGAGCGUCAUAGAGGGUGAGAAUCCCGUCUUUGACACGGACUACCAGUGCUUUGUGAUGUGCUCUCAAAGAGUCGAGUUGUUUGGGAAUGCAGCUCAAAAUGGGUGGUAAAUUCCAUCUAAAGCUAAAUAUUGGCGAGAGACCGAUAGCGAACAAGUACCGUGAGGGAAAGAUGAAAAGCACUUUGGAAAGAGAGUUAAACAGUACGUGAAAUUGCUGAAAGGGAAACGCUUGAAGUCAGUCGCGUUGGCCAGGACUCAGCCUUGCUUAUUUGCUUGGUGCAUUUUCUGGUUGACGGGCCAGCAUCGAUUUUGACCGCUGGAAAAAGAUUAGGGGAAUGUGGCACCUUCGGGUGUGUUAUAGCCCUUAGUCACAUACAGUGGUUGGGAUCGAGGACCGCAGCACGCCUUUAUGGCCGGGGUUCGCCCACGUUCGUGCUUAGGAUGCUGGCGUAAUGGCUUUAAACGACCCGUCUUGAAACACGGACCAAGGAGUCUAACAUGCCUGCGAGUGUUUGGGUGGAAAACCCGAGCGCGUAAUGAAAGUGAAAGUUGAGAUCCCUGUCGUGGGGAGCAUCGACGCCCGGACCUGAACUUCGGUGAUGGAUCUGCGGUAGAGCAUGUAUGUUGGGACCCGAAAGAUGGUGAACUAUGCCUGAAUAGGGUGAAGCCAGAGGAAACUCUGGUGGAGGCUCGUAGCGAUUCUGACGUGCAAAUCGAUCGUCAAAUUUGGGUAUAGGGGCGAAAGACUAAUCGAACCAUCU